GAGAAAACUCUAUGGAAGGAAAUGACUGCGUACUGGGACACUAAAGAAGCUCAGGAAAGAAGUCAAAUCUAUUCAAAUGCCCGUAUGUCUGACCGUAACGG
Molecule: small RNA, 101 nt
Filed under: Arabidopsis thaliana (thale cress)
Lineage: Eukaryota; Viridiplantae; Streptophyta; Magnoliopsida; Brassicales; Brassicaceae
Description: ATSL272500
Source: RNAcentral